This 90-nucleotide transfer RNA is filed under the name Spumella sp. Baekdong012001B8. RNAcentral describes it as "tRNA-Ser". It matches the Rfam family "tRNA". From Rfam's summary of the family: Transfer RNA (tRNA) molecules are approximately 80 nucleotides in length. Their secondary structure includes four short double-helical elements and three loops (D, anti-codon, and T loops). The record is from RNAcentral. Lineage: Eukaryota; Chrysophyceae; Chromulinales; Chromulinaceae.
GGAGAGGUGGCAGAGUGGCCUAUCGCGCUAGAUUGCUAAUUUAGUGUAUAACAAGAUAUUAUACCAAGGGUUCAAAUCCCUUUCUCUCCU